This 74-nucleotide transfer RNA is filed under the name Stegodyphus mimosarum. It matches the Rfam family "tRNA". From Rfam's summary of the family: Transfer RNA (tRNA) molecules are approximately 80 nucleotides in length. Their secondary structure includes four short double-helical elements and three loops (D, anti-codon, and T loops). Lineage: Eukaryota; Metazoa; Arthropoda; Arachnida; Araneae; Eresidae. The record is from Rfam by way of RNAcentral.
GCCUUCGUGGUGUAAAGGUCAAGCACGCUCAGCGCGUAUUCGAGAAGUCCGUGGUUCGAAUCCCGGUGAGGGCA